CGAGCAUUUUACAUGGCGGAGAUUGCAGCGAGCCACUGGAACAGGGAGGUUCCGAAUCCGGCAACGGCUCCGACGUGGAUUGCUAAGUUCUUCGCUGCGGCGGUUAGGUCGUUGAAAUCGGAAGCGAUCAGUGCGGUGCUUGCUCCGUCGAUCUUCAUAGCUAAGUAGCUCUGUCUCGCCAUUGUUUCAGCUCUCUCUAAGAGUAAAGGAUUUCCUCUACAGAGAUAUUAAUAGUAGUUUUAAUUACUCUGGAUAAGUGAUGGUUAAGCAAAUGAGUUGACUUGUUGACUGAGUGCAUUAUUUGUGUAGGCCACGUGAGCGCUUGCUGGCGAAACACGACUUGUAGAUGUUCGACACGUGGCCAAUAAUUCUAUUAUUGGAUAUUAUUUUAUUUUUGUUUGAGCUGUUAAGUUUUGGAUUCAGUGAGCUGGGACGUCUAAUGAAGUACAGCUGCCGACAUUAAUCAUUACAAGAAUCAAAUUAUAUGAAUGUCGAGAAAAAAUAUCUUAAUAAGCUGCGGUGAUGGGAAAGCGAGGCUCGCGCUCUGCUGGCCGCAAUGAGGUGGGUGUCGGAUGCUGGCUAUAAGAAUGUGGUGGUUGAAACGGACGCUAAAGAGGUCGUGGAUCGGCUGACAGGCUUGGAGAACUUGGCGAUAUCUUGACCCAACGUCGCACGAUCCUGAUGAGGGUUGUGUCUUUCCGGAUAUCGUUUGUUAGGAGGUGCAGGAACAAUGGUGGCACACAACGGCUUACAAUGUACGCUUGAGCGAUAUGUAUGUUCGUAAUUCGUUAGUCAACAAUCAAUUCGAGUCACAGACUCGGACUCCGACAAGCAGGUUUUUCUGGCAAAGGUCGGGGCUCUAGCUUUUAAGCCGAGAGAAAGACACGAACGAGAGCGCGUACGGCAGAACAACAACAUCGUCAAAUUUGAUAACAUUGUUGUCCAAAGCCAUUGGUUUUGAUUGAAUCGCAGAAAAGGAACACAAAAACAAACACUGAUGAAGAACUCAGAAACUGAAGAAAUCACAGUUUUCGUCUCUCUCAGAGAAUGCUUCUGAUCAAAGAGUAGGCAGGGUAAACAAAGAGGAGACAAAUUCCGAUGGUGUUGGAGAUUCCUGCUUCUUUGGUGAAGGCGUUCUUGAACCCGCCGGAGGCUCUGAUGUGUUCUUGCAGCAAGUAGCAGGCGAUUCCGAGGCAUAUCGCUACUCCGAUCCAGUUCCCUCUAGCGUAGCCGGCAAUCAACUCUGGCGCCACCACUAUUAGCAGGAUCGACGAAGCCGGCAUCUCUAGCCAUUCUGUACCAAAAAAAUUCCAACAACUUGAAAAAGCUUUAACAUUCAUGACAUAUAAAGGGCGAAAUGUCAAGUUUUUGAAUCCCAAUAAUUCCUAAUCCUCAACACUUAUAGACUUAAAGGUGUAAAAAAUUAUUGGAUCCCAACAACUCAAAAAUUUUCGAUCAAGGGUUUAUACCCUGUUUUUAUAUUAUUUAUUAACAUGCAUCUUUAACUUUCAAUGUGAGAUUUCCACGAUUUUGUUUAAGUUAUAUCCACAUAUUGAAGAUUAUCCGUAUUUGAAACAGAGGUCUCUUGCUCAUUAAAAACUCUAAUACCAUGUCAAAACAAUAACAUUUUAAUAACUAAUUCGAUUAGUUGAAAAAUAGUUUAGAAUGAUUUUAGAUUAUUCGCUAGCACCCCUCCUCCUCAAAGGGAAGGAUACAAGGGUUGGAGUUUUGCAUAAUUCCGAUAAAUUUUGUGCAAUAAAUUUUGGAUUGCCGGAAUUCGAACGAUAAUCUUUUGUUACACAAAAUGUCUGAUACCACAUCAUGAACAAUAUUUCUUCGACAAAAAGUUUUGCAAACCUUAUACCCUUCCCAAAACUUCGGUUUACGCCAGACUCUAUAAUCUCACCUGCGAAUUGGCUGGGGAAGAACAGGCGAACCACAAUAGCGACGAGCGCAGCCCAUUUCCCAAUCUCCCCUCUGUAAACAAAAAUCCAGAUAAAAAAUGGUUCAAUGAACAUUCAAUUCAUCAGUUUGAAAUCCAAUCAAGCAAAGAUUUGACCUAAUCAUAACUAUACCGGAGGAAACCGAAGAGGAACUGAGGCAAGGUGAAGAAGAUGUAAGGGAUGAGUAACCCUGUGAGAAUGUUAGUCUUCCAAUUCGUCCGAUCCAGUAUCAGUAGAUAUCUGUUACACAUACAGAACGAUCCAAUUCCACUCAAAUCGACGAUAUAAUAACAAAAACUGAAAAGAGAUUAGGGUUUCGAGCGAGCAUUUUACAUGGCGGAGAUUGCAGCGAGCCACUGGAACAGGGAGGUGCCGAAUCCGGCGACGGCUCCGACGUGGAUUGCCAAGUUCUUCGCUGCAGUGGCUAGCUCGUUGAAAUCUGAAGCGAUCAGUGCGUUGCUUGCUCCGUCGAUCUUCAUCGCUAAGUAGCUCUGUUUCGCCAUUGUUGUUUCAGCUCAAAAGGUUGGUUUUCGAAUUUUGAGUGAAGGGUUUCGUUUGCAGAGAUAUUAAUAGGAGGCUCGGAAAAGAUUAGUUUAAGUGAUGGUUAAGUAAAACCGUUGACUUCUUGACUGACGCUGCAUUAAGAUAAUAUUAUUUACUGUUUGUGUAUGGACACGUGGGCGCUUGCUGGCCGAGUGCGGCGUAUAGUUGAUGGACACGUGGCAGAAGCGAAUCUGUCGUCUGUGUUUUACAGUAUAGCUUGGGUGCUGAUUCCAUUACAAUCGGCACCCGCUGAUUCCUAGAUCCAACGGUUGAUGAUGGGUCCGACCAGAUCUAACAGUCAAAUAUGUCCAGCUUAUUUUUUUUGUUUUUUCUCUUUCCGGUUUUAGUUGGUUUUAAAUUGAGUUUUGGGUUACGAUUUUGGGUUUUUGGGUUUGUUUUAGGUAAAAAAAUCAUAUUCGGUUCGAUUUUAAUUUUGGGCGUUGGGUGUUGGGUCAAACUCAAAAUUUAAAAUUCAAAUUGUAAACCUAAUACUUUAGAUCCUAAACCUUAAACCGUAAACCAAACUCAAAACUCAAACUCAAAAUUUAAAAUUCAUUUUGAAAAUCUAAUACUCCAGACCCUAAAACUUAAACUCUAAACAAAACCCUAAAUCUUAAAACCCAAAACUUAAUCUAAAAUCAACUCGAACUGAAAAGAUACGGUAGGUAAAAAAAUGAAAAGAAAAACAAAUUGGACACAUUUGACCGUUGGAUCCUGAUAGAUCCAUCACCGACCGUUGGAUCAAGGAAUCAGCAGGUGCUGAUUAUAAUGGAAUCAUCAUCCAAGAAGAAUUGUGUGUUUUAUCCGCAUAUUUCAAUUAUAGGAUAUUAUUUUGCUUUAUUUAUGCUGUUUCCAAUUUUUGGCAGCUUGCAAUUCUAUUAAAUUGUUAUUUUGUUUUUUAAGUAUUGGAUUAAGUGAGCUGGCAGUUUUUUGAAAUACAGCUGCCGACAUCAAGCAUUGUAAAAAAUCGAAUUAUAUGGAAAAAUCUUAAUAAAAUGUUAGUAAAUUCAUUUUUGUAAGUUGCGACAUGUAAUUUAGACCUAAAGGAAGUAGAUACGAGAGAGUACAAUUAUAUAUUUGAUGAUAUCGUGAAUAGGUGACGGAUUAAAAAAUGCUCUUCGAUUAGUGUUUGGAGCUAUUAAAAAAGAAAUGGGAGAUCGAAAAUCGUACAAUUUGGUUUCUUAACGAACACUGAACACGAUAUGCAAUCGCAAUGUACAAUACAUUUACGUCUUUUUUAAUUCAUUAUUAUUGUUAAACAUCAUUAAUAGUAUAUGGGAAGAACGAUUAUUUUGUAUUAACAACAUUAAUAUUGACAAUCUUACUGAAACAAACAUUAAUGACAUUAGGUGGCCGACAUGUACAAGAUAUUUCUUUAUCGCUUUGAUGAAUCUAAAGUAAGCUGCCGACAUCAAAACUUUUCUACCCACACAAAUUACAUGGGCCCACUCUAAGAACAUAUUACAUGGGCCUGCAUACGGUUUUGGGCUACAUCCAAUCACCAUACAAAGGAAUAGCAAUAUGGUCAUCUAUUUCGAAUUUAAAAAAUCUGGUCUAGUGUAUUAAACCUGUUUGGAUUGCGUUGUUAGGAGAUCUUGAGAUAAGUGUUGUUUUUAAAUCAAUCAUCUUUGAGAAUCGAAUAUAUAAGUGUAUUGUAUAAAAUCUAAUCAUUAACUAUCUCAACCAACUGCGGCAUGUGACGGAUCCAAAAUCACUAAUUAACGAUUCCUCAUACACAAAGUUUCGACUCGAAAGAACAAUUUAAUAACAGGGAACCGCUGCUGCCUGCUUCACAAGAGUCAUGGCAUAAAUCAGAUGGGUAACAAGAAGCUGUCAGCUCAGUGGUUCCACCAAUCCGCAUACAAUAAGGAAAACCAUCUCGGUAUUGAAUUUGGGUUUAUGGGCCUUUUGCCUUUCUUUUUUGCUUCGUGGAUAAGUACAUCAAUCUUUGGCCCAUCAAUGAAAAGCCUUGUUUCAGGGGAAUGGGCUCCACUGGCAACUUUUUGUUCUUUUAUAGACAGCCCAUACAAGUUUUCUUUCACACUCGAGUCAUAUAUGGAUUGGCUCUCGUUUUUAACUCACCAUCUCGAUUUUCCGGUUAGGUGGUUCAAGAGCGAGAUUACAUAAUUGAUCGAGGUUGAGCUCUAACGCUACUCGUCAAGGGUGCUAAUGACCCCAAGUCGAGAUUGACUACUUAAAAAAUUGUUAGCGAGCCAAAUUCGACACUGUCUUUAACAACUCAAACUCUAGCCAAGACUCAUUAUCCGAGCUAAACUAAACCUAGAAAGUAAUAGCAUAAAACCGAAUUUAAUAAUCGUGCAAAGAGAAAAGAAAACUGAACUCUAGAGGCAGCUAAGAUAUAUACUGCCUUAGCUUCAACGCAAACGGCUAGAGCGGGUGAACACGGUAGCUUCCAGCCCUUUCGCCAAUCACUUGUCUAUGUGAAUUAAUAAUGACAACCUCAUAUCUCGUCACAAGAGAUAUUUGGUCGAAUGAUCCUUAGCAGUAAGCACUUUGUCGACUCGUUGCUAUAACUAACAUAUACCUACACGAUUGUUUGCAAUCCAAGUAGCUUUCAUAGUUUAGUUUGUCGGAACUCCCGUUUAGUAAGCGGGAGGUAUUGAUUUCAGCUCUCAAUGGAAGCAAAAUUUCAAACAUUUUUUAUUUAUUUCGACAAUCUUAUGAAUAUUUAUGAAUUCCGAAUAUCAUAAUUACUUUUCAUGUAUACUAAUAUUAGAAAUCAUAAUGUUCAACAGAUUUAUUAUGGAUCAUUAAUGAUUGAUCUUGUAGCUUUCUUCUGUCCCACUUGCUAUUAGGUUAUCAGUAAAUAGUUGACUUUUUAACAAAAUACGUAUGUUUCUUUGUUGACUUAUAUUCCACAUACGUUCACGAAAGUCUUCCAGAUAUAACUAUGCAUGAGACAAAGACAAGAAAAAUGAACAGUACUAACAGUUGUUCCUAAUAGGAUUGAGAUUAUUGAUUAACAAAUAUAUCGCUUGGAUUAAACAAAUUGCGACACAAAUCAAGAAUUUCACCACGUACGUCGACAAAUAUGGAAUCUAUUAAUUUAAAGAACGUAUAUCACACUACAUUGCCAGUAGAGAUUGACUUACCUACCUAUUGAUAUAGUUAAUUAUUAAGGAUAUAUGUAUAGUUAAUUAAUACAGAAACUUGUCGGCACUUUCGGUGGCCAGAUUUUGCUAAUUUAGUUUUGUCGAAUUUGUCACGUAUCUCGUACGAACAGAUUCACCAAACACUCAUAAUUACCAUAUGUGGCAACAACUUAAUUAAUUUAUCAUAAUACUCAAAGCCCCGUUAUUAAAAGAGGACAUUAUCUUAAAAUAAUAUAAAGUAAUAGUAAUAGUAAUAAUGGCUUUUUCAUUAUUCUUUUGGCAAAUAAGUUUUCCAAUGAAAAAUAAUAAUAAAAAAUAGAAUGUUUUAUAUUCAUGGUAAAUAAGGAUUAAUUUAAUACUAUUGGGCCUCUUUGAUUCAUGAAUGAGUUUGAUUUCAAUCAAACAUGAUCGAGUUAUUUUGAAAGAUUACUUUUUUUCUAAUGUUUUUAAUGGUUAAUUUGAUUUCUUGUAGGCCAAUUUUUUUUAUAAGUCUGAAUGUUAUCAAGACUUGGAGUUUGGCACUGUAAUGUUCAUAGACUAACCAACAAAUUUUAAAUUUUAUUUAUGUCAUUUUAUGACCNNNNNNNNNNNNNNNNNNNNNNNNNNNCAUUCUAAUAAAUUAAAAAUUAUCUAAAUUUAAAAGGGAGACCUCUCGAUUUUUUAAUUUUAUAAUAUGAUCAAAUCAAUCACAAUAGUUCAAAUUAUUGAAAGAGAAUCAUCAAAUUGGUUUUUAUAAAGUGUUCAUGAUUAAAACUUUCGUUUUCAAAGUUAUCAGAUAAAUAAUUAAAUUAAACUCUUGGCUUUGACACGUAAUCUGUAUAAUUAAACACACUUACCUACCAUGAGAUCUCCUUGUUCGUUCACUCUUUAUCUUCUCGUUUGAAAUUUGUACCACAGAUUAUAAGUUGUUUGUUGUUUUCUUUGAGUUUGACCUUUUCGUAUUCAUGCAUGGAAAAAUGUUAGAGUUGGGGCGCGUAUUACUGAAUAAUAUAAAUAUUAAUUGAAAUUCUUUCUCAACAAUUCGAAUUAUUGAAAUAUAACGAUUCUUAACACUUGAAAUGGUUAUGAAAAUCAACUACAAAUUUCAAUUUCCAACUGUAAAUUCAGCUCAACGCAUUCAUGGUCCGAGCUCAUUAAAAAUCCUUGACUUCUGGAGCCCAUAACAUGUUAAUUUUGAUAUUUUUUCAAAAUGACUGCGUACUCUUCAUAUGUUUCCAUUUAGUUACGUAGUCUACACGUCACUCUUCGAAAUGUUAAGAAAAUAUCUGGUAAUUUCUGUUGCAUGGAUAAUGAUUUGCCACGAGCUAUGAACCGACACGUGACAGUACUUGCCAUACAGAGUACUGGAUUUGCCAUGCAUAAUCCAAUCAUCACGCUAACGUACUCCACAUAAAAGACGUGGCAGCUCGUCAGCCGUGAACUUGUUGUCACAUGGCGGUAAUUAACGUAGAGCAGUAGAAAACCAUUGUUACCGUUGACGUGUCGGCUUCCGGCAGGUCCUUUGUCUUCGUUUUGACUUUUUGAUUCCAUGCAGCCGAAAAGCGGAUCUAGACGAUGGGAUUGCAUUCAAAUUAAUGAACCUAUAGACUAUAUUACGAUUGUAACAUACCUAUGUUGUAACUAAUUAAUAAUUACUCGAAUAAAAAAGUAAAGUAACGCAAUAGGUAACGUUGUGUAUUAGUAAUUUUAUGUGUUAUGUGAGACGUGUGAGUUCAGCAUACUUAUAGAAAAAAUAAUCGUACUUAUUACAGUUUACCUUGUUCGUCGUGGUCACUAGUUUAGACUUGGUAUUCACAUUUUGAUGAUAUCGACCGUCAGAAUAAUACCAUACCACUCAGCAACAUACUAUAUAAUACUACAUAUCAUGCUCUCACUAUAGGAGACAAGAUUGUCAUAAUUUCGAGAAAAUAUCCCCUCGGUACGUAUAUAAUUUUUUUUCACAAACACCAUGUCCGGUACAAUCUCGUCGACUAUGGUAAUUAUGAAAUCACCUAUCCGGCCAUAAUGUAUAUACUAAGAUAUAUUGUAAAUUGUAGCCAUUCAUUUCACUUGAAAUUUGUACCACAAAAUAAGGAAAAAUUGGUGAAUUAAUUAAAGCGCCUUGACCUUAAGGGAAACUGUGUGCUAAAAGAUCUAAGGAAAACGUUAGAAAGCAAUAGUGACGGGUUCAGAAACCCUAAUUAUCAUGAGAGUUUGUGAUUCUAAUUUCCCAAAUCCAAUACUAAUAAAUAUGAAAAAUAUUAUGCAUUUUCAUUUUUAGUUCAAACCGAUUUUAAUGUUCCACUGAUUAUUUAUUAUAAUUAAAUUUGUUAUUGUGAUUUACAACCUAUUAAUCUAUUAUAGCUGGAUUGAUUACGGUAAUAAAUUAGUUAAAUUUGAUAGAUGACAUGGUGUAAAUAAAAAAAUAGGAGAGAAAGAGAUUGAAAUACCACUAAACAGAAUAAAAAGCAUUAAAAGUUCACAUAUGAGUUAACACUUUAGGUUAGGAAAGGAGAAAAUCGAAACUCUCAUUACAUCUCUAUAGUUCCACUCUAGCACGGAGCAUAUAUUAAAAUAGCGAUGAAUUGAAUUCGAAAAAAUCACAAAUAAAUCUGUAAAUGAUUUAGAAUCAAAAUCAAAGGUAAAACAUAAUUCAUCCGACUCUACCCGUUUCCGCCACCUCAGUAUUGACCGAUCUGUUGAGUGUUGGAUCCACAUUACUGCUAAUUUCUGAUGCACGGAUAAUGAUCAAUGGCAAGUGAUGAGCCAACACGUGGCAGUUUAGAAAUCAAAUAGUUUUCUUUUCCUCAUGCAGGCGGAUAUUAAUUAUUGGAUUAGCCAUGCAUAAUCCAAUCAUCACGCUAACGUACUAUGGAAACCUUAGCAUGACGUGGCAGUCUGGCAGAGCUCGUAAGCUUGUCGCUACGUGGCUGGUAAUUACGUUGGGAGCAAUUUACAUAAAGAAAGCAGUCGUUCUCGGUUACCUAGAUUAAGCCGCCGUCGAUGUGGCAGCUGCCGGCCGGUUAAUUGUCGUCGCUUUGACAUUCCUGCGAGAACAAUUUAGGGAUUUUGACUUUUGAACUGACGCGGUCGGAAGGGGGGUCUAGUUGACGAGAUUGCAUUCAAAUUCAUGGACGUAGGCCUACAGUAGAAAUACAUGUACACAGUACAUACGGAUAUGUGCAGUUGUGUACGGUAAUCUUGGCAAGAUUAAAACACAUAAAUAAAAGCGUUAUUUUAAUUUUCAAAUGGUGAAAUAAUUUUUGAAAUACCGGGUUGGAAAGGAGAGAGAAGAUUGUUGUUGACAAAGUCAAAGGUCAAUUACUUGGUUUCUCAGGAAAAGAAAAAGGGCCGGUCAACAAAAUGGCAACACCAAACAUAUUCCCAAAAUUUGCCUUUACACGGCCCUUUUUCGGGUUUUCACUUCUAGAAUGGACAAAUCUUUUCCCGACCCGCCGAAAUAAAUAAAAACUCGCCUAAUUCGUGAUCAUCUUAUUUAAUUACAAUCUUUUUUUAUUAACAUAAUCUUGCACAUUUAACAUGGAGUUAAAUGUGAAAUCGAGUGUGAAAUAGAGUCUAACGUGUCAGAAUUUAUAUUUAAUUAGCAAAUAUUUUUUAAACAUAUUAAAAUGUUAUUACAUGUUAUAAAUCUUGUUAUUAUAAAUAUCUAUUGUGUAACCUAUACAUUAAUCAUGAAAAUUAAUAUCAUCAUUUUUUAUUUAAGGUACUUAUAUUAGUCAUAAGAUAUUAUGUAUCAUGAGCUUAUAAAUAAUGUUCACACUCUUAUAUGUUAUAUACUUGAUUAAAAAUGCUAUUUUCCUCUCAUAUUCUUCUAUUUUUAGUUUCUUAACACGUUAUCACCACGAUUGCUCUACCCUCUCUCGAUAAUUCACAAAGAUUGUUGCUUGCUAUAUCCUAAUUUCUAUGAUUCUGUUUAUGUUUGUUUUACAUUCUNNNNNNNNNNNNNNNNNNNNNNNNNAAUAUCAACGUUACUGAUUUGUUUACAUUGUCUUACAUGAUCAGCGAAGAUAAAAGUAACUAAACGUUAUUGAAAUAUUUUAUUUGCACUGGAGUUUUGGGUUGGUUGGAGAUGAACUCAUAAACGCCUUAGAGAAGUGAAGACUAUGAAGGCGGCUAUAUCCUCUCAUAUUUUUCUAUCUUUAGUUUCUUUUGGUUCUGCUAAUCAAGGUUGGUAUAGCGUAGUUAAUAGUAUUGUGGUGGUAUUGGCGNNNNNNNNNNNNNNNNNNNNNNNNNNNNNNNNNNNNNNNNNNNNNNNNNNNNCGAUUAUAAGGUAUUUUAGGUUUUAAUUUAGUGGCACCUGUAAAUAAAUAUCUAUGUUAUGUAGUGUUUAUUUUCUUUUCCUUGUAUUAUUUUACCGAAUGUAGCGGUCUUAAUUAUUAUACACGUAUUUUUAGAAGAUCGAUCUAAUAAGUUCUACCAAGUUGAAUAUUAAUAACGCACAACAGCUCUUCUCCACCACUCUCUUAAUAGUUUUUUUUUUGGGUAAAAUAAGACGUUAAUGCAUAUUUUAAAUAUUAUUAAAAACCACAAAAUGUGAAAGAGAAAUGCUAAUUAUAUCAUAGUUCAACCAAUGGAACAGACCUCGAUCAAAUGAAUAAAAAAUAUGUAAAUCACAUCACAAGGGUAAGAGUGGCGCACGUUGGUCAAGUAAUCAGCGGUACAUUUGGCUUCGCGGUUGCGUCAACAUAAAAGUUGUAGACCAUCAAAUUAUCUUUCCAACGCCGCUGACCUUGCAUCAAUUGAACUUUCAAACACCAUAACAUGGCCCCGAGGGGAAAGAGAACCAAACAUGUAUUCAAAAACCCGACUUUGAAUACAUUUCGACACACAAAAAUAUAGUUUAUAACGAGAAAAUGUGUGUUGAAAAUACAACAUAUCAGGAAAUAUCCAACUCCCGUUGACGUUUGCAAAGUUCCUGGAACUGCAAACUAAGAAUAACAUGUUGAUGAUUAAAAGAGGAGAUAUGUAAUAGAAUUACAAGGACGGUUUUAGAAUCAGAUUGUACACGUAUUUGUCGAAUACCAAUCGAUCAAGCUAGGUCAAGGCCUUUAAUAAUGCCUGUCAUUUCCGCACGAGUAAUGGAGCAGCAACUAAUGUUAAUCGCAAAGGCUUUAACAAAAGAGCCUCCAUCAUUCCUAUUAGUUAAUACAUGAUAAGCAAACCAGCUCAACUUGUAGGAUUAAAACAAAAAAAAAACUAAAUAAUUAAGUAUGUUAAAGGUAUUCAAAACUAUUUGCUUUAUUAAAGGUAGUGGUGGAUUUAGGGAGGACCUUUCUUAGGCCACAACCAAUGCUUGUAUGAAUCUAAAGUUUUAAUAUUAUACCAUUUUUUUUUAUUUUGAAAAGAAUUAAUAUAUUUUUCAUAUAUUAUUUAGUGUAUUGCAAAUUUUAUACAAAUCGACUUAAUAUAUUAAAUUAUUCUAAAUUCGCUGUCAAUUGAAGGAUUACAUCGCGCAUGGACUAUGGGCUCGUCAACCAAACACAUUUUGUUGCUACUACUCAACUUUUUGAAAUUGCAGGUAGCCAUGAUCAUUAACAUGCAAAUUUGGGUUUUCAAUUUUAAAAUCUCCUCCGUUUUAAUUGAAAAGUUACACUUACUUACGUUUAUCGUUAAGAAAACUUUCUUAUGAACCAUUUUAUUUUGAAAGAACACAACUUUUUUUUUAAGAAACAUAACUUUGACAUAUUUAUUCCUCGAGUGCAUUUUGAAUUGUCCAUCAUCCCAACCUCAGCUGAUUCUGCAUUAAUUAUUUUAUUCGGUCUCAUAAAAAAAAUUAAUCAAAGAAUUUGAAAUGUUUAAGAUUAAUUAAGAAAAAACAAUGCACAUGGGAGUAUGAACACUCUUUUCGCAUUUUAUUAUUCCCCCGUCUCCUAAUUACCAGCACACGCCUAAAGUUUGGCUAACGUCCAAUUUCGCAGCCCCAAAUCCAAAUACGUCACCUGCUUAGCCGCCACGUGUCCCAUCAUCACUCCCCAAUAAAUACCCCUUCCCUCAAUUUUUUCCCAAUCCUUUCUUCUCCAAUCAAUAUUAACAAUAAACCUAAGAAUCUCCCAAACAAAAUCUCUUCUUCUUCUCCAAUCAUCAUUCAAUUCGAAAUAUGAGGUACGAAAAGUCACAAGAUCCGCCUCCGGCGACGACGUCGACGAACACUAAUCCCCCUAAUCGCCGGCUCAAGCUCGGUGCACUCCUGCUCCACGAAGACGCCGAGCUUAAUCGUGACAUCGCGACCGCUUCCUCAAGCUUGACUAGCACUCCGAGGGACUCGAACAGUAGCGGAACUCCCGCCGCCGCCGACCUUCUAUUCGCUUCUUCUCCUUUCUACGGCGGGGGACUACUAUCUCCAUGGAACAACAGCAACAACAACAAUCCGACGCUAUCGCCGUACUUGAAAUCGCCCUGGAUAAUCCCUUCCCCUGCUCUUCUUCCAAACAACAGCUUAAUCGGAUCGAUUGUGCGGCAGGAAGGCCACGUCUACUCUCUGGCCGCGUCUGGAGAUCUGCUCUACACCGGAUCUGACAGCAAGAACAUCCGAGUGUGGAAGAACUUGAAGGAGUUCGCCGGAUUUAAGUCGAACAGCGGGCUCGUGAAGGCGAUUGUAAUCCACGGCGAUAAGGUUUUCACCGGUCACCAGGACGGGAAAAUCCGGAUCUGGAAGGUCUCGUCGAGGAACUCGUCUUCCUACGGAAGGGUAGGGAGCUUGCCGACGUUCAAGGAUUCGCUUACGAGCUCCGUAAAUCCGAAGAACUACGUCCAGAUUCGGCGACGGAAGAACGUUUUGAAAAUCAAGCAUUACGAUGCUGUUUCGUGUAUGGCGCUGAAUCCAGAUCUCGGCCUUCUCUACUCCGGGUCCUGGGACAAGACUCUCAAGGUAUGGCGAAUCGGAGACGGUAAAAGCAACGGUAGCAGUGCUUCUAAUUACAAGUGUUUGGAGUCGAUAAACGCGCACGACGACGCGAUAAACGCGGUGGCGACGGGAUUCGAUUCUCUCGUGUUCACCGGAUCCGCGGACGGGACGGUGAAGGUGUGGAAGCGGGAGCUGGAAUCGAAAGGAAACGUUAAGCAUUUCUUAGUCCAGACGCUGCUGGAGCAGGAGAGCGCGGUGACGGCGUUGGCGGUGAGCAGCGGCGGAGGAGGAGGCGACGUCGGAUCAGAAGUGGUGUACUGCGGGUCUUCGGACGGGAUGGUGAACUUCUGGGAGAGAGAAAAACACCUCUCCCACGGCGGAGCGCUCAGGGGACACAAGAUGGCGGUUCCCGCGGCGGGGGGCUGAGGGACAAAAAGGUGGGGGUGCUCUGCCGGGCCACGGCGGGGGAAGGGUUGGUUUUCAGCGGGUCCGCCGAUAAGAGCAUCUGCGUGUGGAGGAAGGAGAGGGGUGGUGGUGGGGACCACGUCUGCCUUACGGUUUUGACGGGCCACGGUGGGCCCGUCAAGUGCUUGGCGGUUGGGAGAUCGGACGGUGAGGAGAAAGCGAAGGGUGAGGAAGAUCAACGGUGGGUGGUGUAUAGCGGGAGUCUUGAUCGGUCGGUGAAGAUUUGGCGCGUGGAUGACCACGUUCCGGAGUGGCGGGAUUAUUACCAGUCGCCUAGAUUGAGCCCUUAUGACCGUUCUCCCAGACAGUGAUGGAGACGUGGACGUAUAAAUUGUGGAUGGCGUUGGGGUGAAAGAAGCGCGGAGUUACUGUGGAGUAUAGGAGUUAGUUGGUAGUUUCCGUUUUUGAUUUUUUUGGAGGUUUGGUUGUUGAGAAAGGGACGAGGGAACCAAACCGAAUCCAUAGAGUUUUUAAUAUGGAAGAAUUCUUGGUUCGUUUCUUUGCUUAGGGAGCAAGCAAAAAUGUACAGAAGGUCAAAGUAGUCUUUUUAUCACUUACUUCCAUUUGUUGGUAAUUUUUUGUUCAUACAUAAUAAGAUUAAUGUUUCAUGAAGGCCCAAUUUAUUUAGAUUUUACUAAAAAUGACAUAAUUUAUUAAAAAUAUUUUUUAUGGUACAAAUUUUUGGUCAACCUCAACAAAAAUUUAUCAACAUUAUAUUUGACCGUCGAUUUAACAAUCAAACUUACAAUAAUAACGUCUCUGCUGGCUUGUUAUUCACAUAAGCUCCACGUCAUAUUAUAAUAAUAUUAUAAUUAAAAAAAUGAAAUCCAAAAAAAAUUAAGAUCUCCUUUGUCCCUGUUCGCUUUCCGCCUCCUACUGUAGGAAGCCAUCAACUCUUUCGUCUCCCUCUCUCGCGACGGUUCUCUCUCUCGACCUCACCCAGUCCUCGAUGAUGCCAUUUCUUGAUUUGGGAUGACUUCCACAUGCCAUUUGGGGAAGAUCCUCAAGAACCAAUGCCAGAAAUAGUAGGACUAGUGAAAGCGGUGUUUUUAGGUUGUAUUUCAAGGGUUUAGUUAGUGAGGAGAGGGUUAAUGGUCGUCGAAGCUCAAUUUUGGCUGUAUCCGUGUUGUGAUAUGGCACCCCACGGGGUAUUUGAUGAUCGAAGAGCUAAGCAGAGAAGGGAGAAAAGGGGGAUGGUGGAAAGAGAAAGCAGGUAAAAGGAGGUAGAGAGGGGAGAUGGCGAAGAAGGGAGAUAUGUGGGACUUGAGAGGAGGAAGAGAGAGGAUGUGAGUGACAAUAAACGGUGAUGGGAGGUGGGUGGUCAGGUGGAGGGGGAAUUAACGCACGUAAAUGCAUGCAUGUAUGACCAUUGAAUAUUAUUUGGAUAAGAAAACUCGAUCGCAAUGCCUUGAUGAAUAGGUUACUCCCGUACAUCAUUCAUAAUAAUAAUAAUAAAUAAUAAUAAUAAUAAUAAUAAUAAUAAUGGCGGCUAUUGGCAAGUUGCAUAUCAUUUUGGGGGAAUGGUUGGUUGCAUGAUUACCACUUAACAGAGAGACAAAAACUAAGGAGAGAGCUCAACCUCGUAUGCUUCUUUCUUUUGUUCUGUUCCAUAUUAUUACUCACCAGCAAGUUGCAUCCAAAUCAACGACUGCCCAAGAUGGGGCGGCACAAUUGGCUUUAUCAAUAGCAGAGGGACAGCAUCAAAGCAAGCGGUUGGGGUAAAUGGUGAAAUCACGCCCAUCGGAGAUUUUGAACGGAAUUUCAAAUUUAAAAGCUACAUAUGUCUACGUUUUUCAGUAAUAAUAUUAAAAUUUUAAAUACAAUCCUAUGUAUCGAAUAGCAAUAGACGAACAUAUUUGUUUUCUUUCAACUAGUAACAGAUAGAUUUUUUUAACACGUUAGUGUACUGCUUUUAGUUAAAAUGAAAUUAAAUGUGUUACCGGCGAUUUUUUCACUACAUCUGGUAUUUGAACUAAAUGUAUGUGGAUUACUUUAAUAGGUUGGUUAGAAAUUUAAAUUUAAUUGAUUAUUUAGUUUAAACAAAUAAAUAGAGGAAUAUAACUUCAAAUUCCAUUAGUCGAAUACAAAACCAUAAAAAAUUUACAUAUAUUUUAGUACUCGAGACAAGAUGAGAUAAUAGAGUCGGGAUUCUCUCUGAUUUAAAAUAACCAUAUAUAAUGACUGAGUUUCAUAUAAUGGUUCAACACUAAAUUAGUUUGGAGAUACAAUAGACAAUAUUCAGAAACAUACUACACAAGAUUCAAAAACUUACUAAUUUUAUAUAAUAAUUUGAAGCUCUAAGAAUGGGGGACGACCCUAAGUGGUGGCACGGGUUUGCCCGUCCCUAAUUUCGCCACUAAAAUGAGCCUGAGAUGUACCCUGGUUCGAGGCUUGUGGCGAAUUUUGAUUUUUUGGCUGGGUUGAGUCGGUCUCGAUUAGACUGUAUCCGGUUGGAUUUUUGGGGUGAUCGCAAAGAAUCAAAAGUCCAAAAGAUAAAAACUUGGAGCUCUAAUCAAUCAGGGACUCAAAUAGUAACCCACAAAUAACGAUUUCGAUUCAAACCGGCAAACCCGAUUUCACCGAAACCAUGUCGAAAAAUGUAAAUCUACUGAUCAGUGAACUUGGAAGGGCCUGUGGGAUCAAUACUUUCGACCCGUAUAAGAAGUUAUAUGGGCCUUAAGGCCCAACAUAAUUUUAUCUUCCACCGCCGUCCAGUCCUCCCAGCUCAACUACCACCGGAGAAACCUCAACUCAACUCUUCUUCCUCUUCGCAGCUUCCGUUACCUCUUUUCUUCAGUCUUUUCACAGCUGAAACUUCUACAAACAAAAUUCAAUAUCACUAAAAUUCGAUUCAUCUUGUCAGCGAUAUGAAGCCAAACAGACUGUUAAAAGCUCGAUUCCUUAAACUCAAUAGCUUCAAAACCUCCCCAGUUCAAUCCAGACAGAUCCCCGGUUAUCCCAAUUGCUGCCCGUUCUCCUCCGCGGCCGAAAUCGACACAGGGAGUAUUAUUCCAGCGGAAGAAGAAGCUAGCGUGGAGAAGGCGGAAGAAGGAGGAGGAGGUGAGAUCUUCAAAUUAAUACAAUCUUCUAAGUGGCAUUCCGUCGAACACCUGGCGCGCAAACUGACAUCUCCAGCUAUUUCCACUACUCUACUUUCUCUUAAGAAGAAACCGGAUUCAGCGCUCAGGUUCGUCAACUGUGUCGGAUUUGACUCUCUCGAUUUGAAAAAUAAGUGUCUUUCCGUGGCAGCGGUGUCUCAGUCGCCUUCUCCGAAGCCCAGUUUGCAAUUACUAAAGCAAACCAUUAGGAAUAAUAAUAGAGCGGCGGUGGUCGACGUUUUGGAAGUUUUUAACGAGUUGGCGAUUGCUAAGGAUGCGUUUGGGAUCGAAAGUUCGUUACUUUUCGAUUUGCUGAUCAAGACUUGCUGCGAAUUGAAAAGAGGCGAGGAUGCGUUUGUCUGUUUCGAUGCAAUGAAGGAGAAAGGUUUGAAUCCAAAAGUCGAGACGUGUAAUGAAAUGCUGAAUCUGUUUCUGAAAUCGAAUCGCACCGAGAAAGCUUGGGUUCUGUAUGCUGAAAUGUUCAGGUUAAAGAUCAAGUCGAGUGUUUACACUUUCAACAUAAUGCUUAACGUAUUGUGCAAGGAAGGCAAGCUGAAGCAAGCCAAGGAGUUCAUCCCGUUCAUGGAGAGCUUAGGGAUUAAGCCGACUGUUGUAACCUACAACACGUUAAUUCACGGGUACUGCUCGAGAGGGAGGUAUGAAGGUGCACUUUUGAUUUUUGAUCUAAUGCAGCGUAAAGGAAUCGAUCCUGAUGCGUACACGUACGGUUCCCUCAUUUCCGGGAAAUGCAAGGAAGGAAAUCUCGAUGUUGCCUCUAAACUGCUCGAGAAAAUGAAGGAAAUCGGAUUGGUUCCGAAUGCUGUUACCUACAACAUCUUGAUUGAUGGGUAUUGCAAUAAAGGCGAUCUGGAGGUGGCGUUUCGGUAUAAGGACGAGAUGAUUGGGAAGGGGAUUGUGCCGACUGUGUCUACGUACAAUCUGUUGGUUCAUGCCUUGUUGAUGGAGGCGAAAAUGGACGAAGCUGAUGAGAUGGUGAAGGAAAUGAAGGGUAAAGGGAUAGUUCCUGAUUUGAUAACUUACAACAUAUUGAUUAAUGGUUAUUCGAGAUGUAAGAAUGUUAAGAAGGCGUUCGAGCUCCACGAUGAGAUGGUGAGUUUAGGCAUUCAGCCGACGAAGGUAACUUAUACGUCACUCAUUUACGUUCUGAGUAAACGGAAAAGAAUGAAGGAAGCUGAUAACUUGUUCGACAAGAUUCUGAGACAGGGGAGGAUUCUUCCGGAUCGGAUAAUGUUCAAUGCUUUAAUCGACGGUCAUUGUUCUAGCGGGAAUAUAGACCGUGGAUUCGAAUUGUUGGAAGAGAUGGAUAGAGUGAAGUGUUUGCCCGACGAGGUGACUUACAACACCCUGAUGCAGGGGCGGUGCAGGGAGGGGAAAGUCGAAGAGGCUCGUGGAUUGAUCGAGGAGAUGAAGAACCAGGGGAUUAAACCGGAUCAUAUCAGUUACAAUACUCUGAUUAGUGGUUACAGUAAGAGAGGGGAUAUGAAGGAUGCGUUGAGGGUUCGGGAUGAGAUGGUGAGUAUAGGGUUUAAUCCGACAAGGUUAACAUAUAAUGCGCUGAUCCAAGGGUUGUGUAAGAAUCAAGAAGGGGAUCUUGCUGAGGAGCUGUUUAGGGAAAUGGCUAGCAGAGGGAUUCCUCCAGAUGAUAGUACUUACUUCUCUUUGAUUGAAGGGAUUGGGAAGGAAGUUGAGAGUUCAGAGUCAGUUCCAUGACUGGAGAAAAGUGGUAAGCUUGUUUACAGACCAUACAUGUUCUUACUGAAGAAACCAGUUUAGGCCUGAGCUGGCUGUUUCAAAUUGUUGUAUUUGUCACUGUGAUGGUUUAAAAGAGUGGGAAGAAGGGUUUGCAUCAUUUGUUGAAACCUCUGCAACAUUGCUGCAGCUCUCGAGAUGACUCCCCGAUCAAGCUUGAAAAAUGGAAACCUUAAUCUCAAUAACUUAGCCCGAAAGAACCAAGCUUAGAGCUCAAACCCAUGAGUAGACUCCAUGAGAACAUUAAACAUUCUUACAUUGACUAAUAACGUCUUGAUUCCAAUCGACUAGGGCACGAUUUCGGUCAAACCUUGGAGAAACGUCACCUAUCCAAAACCCAAAUUACAUCACAACCAAGAACCAAUCCCAAAUAUCUGAACUUGGAGCUCAAAUCCCUGGCCGCAUGACUCUUAAGUGAAACAUAAGUAAAUAAGUUCUUGAUUCAGACAUAACUAACAUAACUAAAUCCGGUAGAUAACAUAGAUGGUCCGUUUUGUUUUGGCCCCGUACGUUUCGAAACCUUUGGCCUUCAACAAACACGAUCAAACUCGAGAUAUGGAAACCAGGAUCUCAAAUCCUCCAUUGCCGGGGGAGGACUCGAUAACCUGGAAAAGGCAGACGUCCCCUUCCUUAACUGAUUCGCAUGGUAAAACUUAGUCCACUUUUUACCCAUCAUCGUCAACGAUGGUCCGGAAUGCUUCAGUUCAAUUUCAAUUCCACCCGACCCGCCGCCACCCGAAACCUUGAGAUUCAUCCGAUCCUCAUAUUUCAUCUUCAACUUUUGCACAAUUCCAGCUGGAACAGUCUGCAUAAAAUAAUUGAACAGAGAGUACGAAAACAGAGUGUGUUCUUCAAGACACGUUUUCCGUCCCGAAAUUGGUGGAAUUAAUGUAAUUUGCUUAAUCUCUUACAAUGCGGUAGGUCGUUCUGAGUUGUUGAUUGGCGGGCAUCAUCACGACGAUGAACGACGGAGUAUCGCGUCCCUUGUUGGCCAUAGCUUCUCGCAAAGCGGUCUUGCUUUCCGGAGACAUUUUGGGAAAUGUCAGGCAGUUGAAUUUGCUGGCCACUUCGAUUCCUCUCGCCGCCAAUUCAGCCAGCAAAGCCUCGCAUUCAUCCUCGCUGACGACGGCAGGUGACGGUGGUGGUGGGUAGACGAUCUCGCACGUGGACAGAUCGAAUACGCCGACGUUGAACCUCGAGCCGCCGGUGUACUCGAAAGUGAGGAAGAAAUCCUGCUUGAUGGAGUUGUCAUCCAUGAACUUGGACCACCCUCUUUUGAACCAGAGUUCCUUACGGUCUUUUCCAGCGGUUAUGCCGGUUUCGAAUACGGUGCCGUUUGGAAUGCAGAGCUGUGCGUUUGACCACUUCUUCAUCGCCAGCUUCCUCCCGUACUUCCUCGCGAACUUGAUCGGCAGGGGCUGUUGAAAAAGAGACAGAAAAAACAGAUGAUGUGAGAAAAAUGAGUUAUUCGGUUUGAUUUUACAGUUCGAUUUUAAACAAGCUGGCUUAAUAAUCUAUGAGCUAAGUUGGAGCCAACUUUGGCUCGCGACCUCAACUAUCGGCUAGAUUAAGUCUAUAGAGUUGGCUUGAUUGCCGACUUGUUAAUUGGCUAAAUUAAUAUAGCUUAUGAGUUGAUUUAAAAAAAAUUAAUGCCUAAAAAAUUCAUACUUCAUUUAAAUACACAAAAUAUGAUUUAACUUGAUUAAUUAGGACUUAAAAAAGAGCUCGUUAAAUGGAGUUAACAAUUAUUUUUUCGAACUGAAGUCGACAUGAAUUUGAGCUAACAAUAAUUUCCCCGAAAGCUCUACUCGGUUUGACCUGCCGACAGCCCUCUCAUGCAUCGAAUAAAACAGAGGAUUCAACCAAGAAGAGAAUGGGAAUGAGACUUAACGAGUUGUUUCUCUUCGAUGACACUUGGCAUGAUGAGUCGGAAGAAGUUCUCAACGCCCGUAUCUUCUACUUCGCCGGCGGCAGAGGCGCCGGACGGAGAACGGUAUGUGAUUCCGCAACAGUAGGUGUCGUAGAUCUUGACGGAGAACUUGGAAUCCCCAAAGUAGUCGAAUCGGAGGAAGAAUCCGGUGCAAAUGGAGUGUCGGCCCACUUCUCACCGAAAUAGGCCUCGUUCCCGACGCCGGUAGCAUUUCUCCUUUUCGCCACUCCGACGGUCCAAACGGCGCCGUUUGGCAGAAAGAGCUCUGCCGUUGACAAGAGCUUCGACCCGCACAGACCCACGAAGUUCUGCGGCAUAACCUACAAAGAAAAAGGUGUUUUUUUUUCGAAUGCUCAAUGAAUAGAAAAGCAGAAAGAAAGAAAGAAAGAAUGUUAGUUAAUUAGUUACCAUCUUCUUGGCUUGGAGGACAUGUGGAAGGAUGACUCUCAUGAAACUCUGUUGCGGAGGAGAGGAAACCAGAGGAGAUGAUGGAAAACUAGCUUAGUGUGAUUAAUUGAUUUGACAAACUUGCACGCUGAUACUCCAUUAGAAGCUUUGAGUACGUGGACUUACGAGCCUGCACAACUUCUGGUUUGAUUAGAUGACAAGCGAUCGAGUUCGAAAACUAGCUUGAUAAUAUUAUUCGAGUUUGACACAAUCUUCAAUGUUUCGGCUCAAACUAGAUCUCAAAUUUUAGAUAGCCGAAUAAACUAAGGAGCUAAACUCGAGCAAAGAGAUAAGCUCGAGUCGAGUUUUGAACUAUGCAAGCACUAUCUGUGUGUUCCUUUCUCAUAGAUGUGUAUGUAGGGAUGUAUAUUCGUCAGGUUAGAGUUUUCAAUUGACUCGAGUAGCAAUAUUGUCGAGCUCGAAAUUGAGUCUGACUGAAAAACAACCAAUCUCGAGGCCAAUUCUCUAACCAUCUUUAAACUAGUGUAUAAGAUCAACCAAGACACUGCCAAUUUUUUCCAACACAAACACAGAAAAACAUUUCAACAUCUAGUUCUACACAUAACUAAACCAGAGAGUCAGUUGCAUUUCCCCCCUUCAAUCAGCGGUCCUGAAGACACGAACCUUCAGCACAGUCUUCGCGUCGGAGUCGGACGGAGGAAUCAACUCGAACACACAAACGUCUCCCUCGACUAUCUUGUUGGCUGAACGAAACUGAGACCAUCCACUCAUCUGCCUCAGAUUCAUCCCAACAACCUUGUUGAACACAACCCACCAAGUACGCACCACCCGAUCUGGGUCCGCACCCUCCUCGGAGAGCUGCAGCGUCCCCUCAUCCGAAUCCCCCAAGCAAAAUUUGUUCGUAAACUUCGUUGGCAGACGCUGCACACAUUUCAAAAAACAGUUCCAGAGUAAAAACACAUAAAACAUUUUUGCAGGACAGAUUAGGGUUUAGGGUUUUGUGUAAUUAACCAUGAAUCCAGGGGAUAUGUGAUAACUCGCUAUGACCACCAGCGUAGAAAUGUUGGCCGGAUUCAUCUCCUCCAGAGCUCUCUCGAUCGCCCUCUUGCUGUUCGUAGACACCGUGUCGAAUACCAAGUGGAACUUGUUGCUCUGUACCAUAUUCUCCAUCUUCUUCAGCCGCUCCAACAGUUCUGAGGAGUCUGGGGCCGGGGCUAGUGGUGGAUAAGUUAUCUCCAUUGACGUUGAGCGCAAGAUGAAGACCUUGAGACGGGACGGCUCGAGGUACCUGUUAGAAGAACCAAACGAAAACAUUCACAAGGAUUAUCAAUCUGGACGAGUCGUUUCUUCACUUCUUUAGUUUUUAACAAAUGAUUCCACAUUUCUUCCAAACAUUACCUGAAGAGGAGGAUCUGUUUCAGAGAGAUCGAGUAGAACCUGAGGAAAUCCUCGAAUCCUGAGACGAGCCAGACUCGGUUAGGAUAUCCUUCCUCUGCCUCCAAUCCAACUGUCCAAGUUCUUCCAUCAGCAACUUCCAAUUUCAGCUCGUCGGAACCAGAGAACUCGUCCUUGAAAUUCUUCAUGAACCUCCUAGGAAGCAUCUAACAGAAAGAAGAAGAAGAAAAGUCAUCAUCUUUAAGAAGGAAGAAACACAAAGUAGCCAUCUUUUUCAAAUCAACUUACCAUUUCCUUGUCCUGAAUGGUUUUAGGCAAGAUCACCUUGAAGAAUUGCAGGAAUGGGAAGUUGGCUGCAGACAUGUUUCCUUGUUUCUGGUAAAAGGCAAAGUGAAAAUGGGAAGCUAGAUGUGUUUGGUUUCACAAGGGAGACCAGAUUAUGAAGUUGCUGCUGCUUUUAAAUGUAUCUUUGAUUCUUCAUUUGCAUUUGUCCUGCAUUUGUUGUUCAGUUGUAUUUUCUGCAGGCUGGGAUGAACUUUUUUACUGUGGUAAAUUAUAAGUAAGAGGGGUUAAAAUUAUUGGUCUUGAUUUUCUGUCUCUCUUUCUAAAUAUGGAGUUCUGUGUAAAAUUGUAGAGAAGUGACUCUCUAGCUAAUUUAAAGAAACAAUAAGUUGACUAUACACUUGGCUCAAGGUCUGACAUUUUUCAUAAUACCUGUCUGUUUGCAACUCUUUGCUUUUGCAGGUUGCUGCUCUAGUACUACUGUAGCAGUACACUUAAUGACUUGGAUAGUUGGAUAAUCUUAGGGUUUCAUAUGAUAUGAGCAGAAUCGAAUUGAAUAUUCUGCCAGCUUUGACUUGUUUAGUAUCAUAAAUAAUCUCGAGCACGGCUCGUUUGUAACCUUAAAUAAUAUCAAGCUCCACCCUUUUACACCCUUAACGAGUUCGAAUUAAUAUCGCGAGAAAAAAGAAUAUACCUUAGGAAGCAUAUAGUCUGAUCUCAACUAAAAAUUGAAAGAGGAAUAACAAUAAGCUAGAAUUAGAGUUGGGACACCAACAUAUUCACGAGCCAAUGAGCUGGCUUGUGAAUCAGUCGGACCGAAUCACCAUUGGCUCUGACUCAAUUCGUUUUAACUUUCGAGCCCGCUCGCAAACAGGUUUGUGAUCAGCCUUUUUUAUACACUUUUUAUAAAAAAGGAUUUAAGUUUUUUCAGAACAUCUCUGUAUAUUUCUAACUUGGGUAAAUGUCAGAAUAGCUUUUAGAGCAUUGCAGAGCUAGGGUUCUUAGUGAUGUGUCUGUUUUGGUGAAACAUGAUGCUGCUCUUCAAUUACACAAAUGUGCUGGCUUCUGGUUGUGAUAUCUUAUGAUAUAAAAGCUUCAGGCCUUUUAAUUAUUCUUGCUGUCCUUUGUAUUUACUUCUGCAAAAAAUUCUGCAGCUAUUUUGGAGACUUAUCUGGAAAACCCUAAUUGGUGAUUAGUUCUAGCAAUUGAAUCUUAACAUUCAUCAAGUUAGAGUUUUUAAUUGACUCAGAGCUCUACUCGUUUAGUUUCUUUUAUGAUCACAAGCUCGAUUUGAAGCUGCAAAAUAGUCGAGCCUCGAAAUCGACUCGACUGAAAAUGAACUGAUCUCGAAUUCAAUAUUUCUCUCACCGUGUCUAUCGUGAGUAUAAGUCAUCUAGGGCAUACACAAACAUAAUAGGUUUUUGAUAAUGCUGUUUUUUUAUUAUAAAAAGAUAAGUCUUUUCAGAACAUCUAUGUAGAUUUCUAACUUGGGUAAAGAUCAGAAGAGCUUGUUGUUGACAUAGUUCUUUGAAAACCAGUCUUUGUUAAUGUUCUUACUGAAGAAACCAGUUUAGUCCUGCUGAGAUGGUUGUUUAAAAUUGUCGUAUUUGUCACUGUGAUGUGAUUGAUUGAUGGUUCAAAAGAGUUUGAAGAAGGGUUUGCAUCAUUUGCUUGAACUAUGGUUUUAGGGAUCUCUUGAAUGUCUGCAACAUUGCUGCAGCUCAUCAUACCAUCAUAUCUUUCUAUCUUGUCUCGUCUCUCAUUUACUAAUGUACUUAGAUGCUGUAUAGGCUGUCUUUGUAAUAUGAUUGUUAAGAAAAAGUCCACUUUGGACCCAUCAUCGUCAACGAUGAUCCGGAAUGCUUCAGUCCGAUGUCAAAUCCACCCGACCCGCCACCCGAAACUUUGGCAUUCACUCGAUUCCCAGCUUUCAUCCUCAGCUCUUCCACAAUUCUAUUUGGAACAGUCUGCAAAAAAAAACAAAAAACGAAACAGAGUGUAAAUAAAACAGAGUGUGUGUUCUUCAUAUCCUCGACCUCCGAUUCCGACAGAAAUCCCGAAACCCGCUGGAAUUCGAAUUCGGAAAUUUUCCACCACUCCAAAUAAAAUUCGGCGGGUGGAUUAGCGGAAUUAAAUCCCAAAAUCUGUCGGAAUUAGGGAUAUCGGAAUUGGUCAUCAAAUCCGGCAAUUCCACAUCCAAUUCCGGCGCCGGACAAAAAAAAAACAAAAAGGCAGUUCCUCUCUUACAAUGCGGUAGGUCUUUUUGAGUUUUUUCCCCCGCACGGAUUCAUCACGACGAUGAAAGAAGGAACCGCGUCGUCUUCCCGCUUGUUCUUCAUCGCUUCUUGCAUAGCCCUCUUGCUUUCCGAAGAUAUUAUUGGGAAUGUCAUACAGCUGAAUUUAUUGGCCACAUGGAUUCCUCUUGCCGCCAGUUCAUCCAGCAAAGCCUCGCAUUCGCCGGCGACGACGGCCGGCGGUUGUGGUGUGUAGAGGAUCUUGGACAUGGACAGAUCGAAUAUCCGGAUGUUGAACCUCGAUUCGCCGACGUACUCGAAAGCGAGGACGAACUUCUCCUUGAUGGAGUUGUCAUCCAUGAACUUGGACCACCCUGUUUUGAACCAGAGGUCAUUGUGGUCUUUUCCUGCGGUUAUGCCGGCUUCGAAUACCGUGCCGUUCGGCAGGCAGAGCUUUGCAUUUGACCACUCCUUCAUCGCCAGCUUCCUUCCGUGCUUUGUCGCGAACUUGAUCGGCAGCGGCUGUGGAAAAAGAGGGGAAAAACAGAGGAAGCAAAAAACAGAGAAUGUGAGAAACUUCAAUAAGUAAUAACUUAUUCAGUUUGUUAAAGGAAGUGAAAAUUUAAAGAACUAGAGGUUUAAAGAAUGAAAGAAUACAGAGAUGUAAGUGAAAGAUUUAUUUGUAGUUUUUGAUUUCAUUAUUUACAAAAUUCCAGAUCCAAAAAUAUCGAUAAUUGAAGCUUAACAUGAAAACUACUUGCAGCUGCAAGGAUGCAACAACAAUGACAGGCAAAUCAACAACAAAAUAGUUAUUAAAAUCAAAAGCAAUUCAAUUUAAACGAGCUGACUCGAUAAUAUACGAGCCGAGCUCAAUUCGAAUUUGGCUCGAGCUAGCAAAGUGGCAACUAUGAGCAUAGGGGACUCAUGAAUGAAGCCACGGCGGUGGUUAACCCCAAAACGUUCUCUAGUGGUGACAGGGAGUUAAGCAUCCCUCGUCCUAGGUUCAAAAACUUGGUAAAUCACCUACCUAUGGAAGUGAGACAUUGAAGCAACUGAACUCAGCUGAGCUAGUCAAGAUCUUAUGUUGGAGUUAAGAAAGCAUUGGAAGCUAAAUGUACUAUCUCCGAUCCUUCAAAUGAGACAAGGUGCAAGGCUACUUAUCAUUUAGGAAACAACAAAGUAGCCAACUACAGUAAUAUAAUAGGAGGAUACGAGAGAACAAGAAUUUUUUGAAGCAAUUAAGAGUAGAGGGGGGAGAACUGAACUCACUUCAUGAGGAUAUCGUAAUACUCAGAGUCCAAUGAGGUCAGCAUCCCGUCCACAUCUUUGAUCGCCAUAAUCGCUCUAUGAACCACUAUCCAAUUCGCAGACUACAGCACGUAAAAGUAGAAGAGACAACUUUCUCUGCUAAUAAGUUUGGAUCGGAAGAUGAAGAACUCAUCAAAUCGUUACGGAGGAACAGAAAAAGGGAGGAAACUAACGGACCUUGCAUCGCUCAUCGCCAGUCUUGGGAGGCGAUCCUUCAAGCGCUGUCUUGAGCGCUUCCACUGGCUUGUACCUGGUCUUUCAUGGAGAAAGAGGAAUUAGAGGGAAACAGUGAAAGACGGAGGAAGAAGACGUAGGGGGUAUGUAUAUAUCUGUUGGUUUUACUGUUUGAGUAAGCUCUCGAUCUUGCGAGACUUGUGUUCGAUUCUGGUAAUGAUUGCCUCGGCGUUCUCUGCUUCCACAAAUCCGUCAGCACCGGCCAUUGUUGCUUAUUGCCAAUUGUCCAAUUUGGUUCCGUCCAGCUAUAAUUGCCAGACACCCACUUCGCCGCUCCGGUGAGAAACGGUAUAAGUUUUUUCCAAGAUCUGAACUUUGCUGACUUCAACAAAUCUGGAAAACGCUCAGAGGAAGAAGAAAAUGCUCCAGUUGCAGCUAAUCAUGGCCGUUCAUCAAAUUUAAUGGUUUUUGUUAUUCCAGUAGAUAGCAAAACGGGGCAAAAGGUAGUCGGCCUAUUGGAUUGCAAAAAGUGAAAACUAUUCGGUCAAGUUAUAUCUUAUUGUUGUGGUUGAACCGAAUCGCUCGCUCGGUUCAAAAAAUGUUAAUUUUCAAACCCAACUGGAUUUGAAUGAAUUAGUAAUGAUUGAAUUAGGAUAUACUUGACUCGGCAAGCUUGGAGGCUGAUAAGCUCGAUUAUGUGGAUUCAUAAGCCUGCAACACUUCUAACUUGUACGAGUGGUAUUUCAAGCGCGCAAAGCUCGGAUUGAGCUCAUCGAAAAUGCUUAUACCAAACCGAGCUUGAGUUGUCUCGAGUUCAGCACCAACUUUAGUGUUCCUGCUCGAACUAGACCUCAAGUGUAAGCUAUCUUAAAAAUUAACGAGCCGGACUUGAACAAAGGGAUGAGUUCGACUCAAGUUUGAACUAUGCAAGCCCUAUCCUUGUGUUUAUUUCAAGAGAUUACAAAUUGUUAUAUAAACAACAUUCUUCUACUUAUCCACAUUUUCAAAACUCAGAAACAUAACUACUGUGGCCACAUGCCCUAGAACAAGCUUAGCCUUAACUUCUAUGCACGAACUAUGUCUGACUCGUGGGUGUGCCGGAGUACAAGGUACGCGAGUUUCUGAUGGAACUCUGGAGAGCCGACUGUCCACCUCGAGAAACUGCAAAGAGGAAUCAAAUAAUUCGGUUCAGAUAACUUGUAAACUAAGCAGCGUUUAAGCAGGAACCAACUGAUGUGUUCGGUUGAGUAUGUCUAUCUUGCAGGUUCGAGAUUCGGAGAAGCUAGAGGAGCAUAAGGUCGAGAUCGAGAGUGUCUACUAGAUGGAGUCGACAUUUCGAUAUAAUCCCGGAAAGGACUAAUCCAAACCAUCUGGUAUUCGGCUCUCAAGACAAUGUGCUCCAGUUAAAGCCCCUCUCCACUUGGAAGUGCUACUGUGAAUUUCAGUAGCGGAAUGAGAGCAAAAGGAAGCUCGGACAAUUUUUGUUCCCCGAGCUUCUACAGUAGAACCCAUAACGGAAGCUGUCAGCAUGAUCGCAUACCAAAUUGGAGCAAUGGAGAUGAAAUCGAGAAGAGAUGAAGGAGAGGAAGAAAGAAGAAGAAAGGCCAUGGAUGAAAAAGAAGUUGGGGAAGGAGCUUGUUACGUUACUGAGUUUUGUAGUCACGAGGGAGUCAAGUUUUGGGCACAAAAGAUUCCUACUUUAUGAUUUUGGUUGGUUGAUGCAUCAGCAUCACAAACAACGACAAAUCAACAUUAGCCCACCAACACUACUUCUAUGGGUCCCUGGGUAAAAAGAACCUAUCUUGGUUGUGAUCUGAUGAUAUCAAAUUCUUCAGCUUUUAUGUAUUUGGUUCUGCAAAAACUCUGCAGUUUUUAGGAAUCUUAUCUGGAAAAUCCUAACUGGUGUACUUAUUGUUAGUUCUAGCAAUUGAUUUUUUAACAGCUAGUUUAGUAAUGGCUUUUGUUAUACAUAUGAUUGUGGAAGUCUUGGUUUAAACAGCCACAUCACAAUGGCAUUAUACGACUUGUCGUCUUGUCAUUAGGGACUGGUUUAGUUGAUGUGGAAUGAAAAAAGAACCCAUCAUCCUAUUUUGUUAAAAAUAAAUGAUCUUGCAAGUUUAGGAGAUGGAAUAAAUUGAUUAAAGGAAUGAGCCCUAAUCAUUUGUGGAAAACCAUAGCAAAAACCGAAUCAGUUGACAGAUUUCAGUUUCGGUUAGUGAUUAUGCAACCGAAUUGGAAACGGAGUAGUUGAGCUCCGCUGAUUCCUUCAAGGAUUAGCUUUUUGAAGAAGAAGAAUUCAAGGAUUAGUUGAUAACUACAUAUAACUAGUUAUCUUACACAAAAAUAACAGAUCUGGAAAACCAGCCAUGAACAGAUAUUGAUACUAAGAAUCAUCAACUCAAGAUCUGUUUGGUUCUGAUCCAGCUUGAAGUUGGCUUGACUGGAACAAUCUAUUUACAGCCCUAGUGUCUCAAGCUCACAAACAGAAACAAUAGAUUAAGAAAAAACAGCAUCCUAAAGAAGAAUUGGAUCUGAAAAUGGAGGAAAGGAUUCUUCUUUUAUAGACAAAUCAUCAACCAGUUGGACUCUCGAUCAGCAGCGGAAUCUAGUGUCGACCAGCAGCUGCUGCGGGCGGAGGAGGAAUAGGCAUCCGAUGGUGGUUCAGGUUCAUGUAGCCUGCAGAACUGUCCAUGACUCGGAACACGGUCACUUUCAGAACAACAUCCCUCGACUUGAGCAUCUCGAAAACACACACAUCUCCUUCCCCGAUGUUGUUCUCCAACGUGAACUCAUACCAUCCUUGGCUUAGUUUCGCUCUACCUCCCUUGUAGAGACACCGGACGGGCCACUGUUUCCCGUCGGUGAACUGGAGCUUGAUGAACCCUGAAACGCCGUUCAGAUUCUUCUCCGCGAAGCUGGAUGGUAGAUACUGGCAAAAGAAAUCGAACGGAACUUUUUAUAAAGUCACAAGCUUUAUCAGUCAAAAUGAGUAAAGUCAGCAAGCUUUAUCAGUCAAAAUGAGUAAAGUCGCAAGCUUUGUCAUAAGCUAUAUCAGUCAAAAUGAGUAAAGUCGCAAGGUUUAUCAGUGCAAUGACUUAAAAACAAUGGUGUCUAGUUGGCUGGCUCACCAUGAUGCAGCCCCUGUACAAAUAAGACGGUCGCAACACAACCCGGCAGAAAGGAUUUUCGGGCUCGAACAUUUUGGCUGCACUUAUAGCUCUUUCCCUCUCUUCAGCAGUCACCGUUCGCUUUCUCGCAGAUGCACUUUCAUAGAAUCUAAACUUCAUUUCUCCAUCCUCUUGGGGCCUUGCAGCUGAGGCCUGCUCCUCAUCUGCAGCUUUUUUCAUUCAGGAGAGAGACUUAAUAACAGAUUUUUGAAACCAAGAUUCAGUUGAUAGAAAGAUUCAGUGAAAAGAUUCUCCUGAAACUUACUAGGAUCGGGUUUUUUCCUUUUUCUUCCGCGCUUCUUAGGAACCUUAGCUGGUGGUGCAGCAUCUGAAGAAGCAUUCUGUUGAUGAUCAAAUGCAUUGACCUGAAGAUUCGGUUCCACAACAGGUUGACUUGCUGGCUGCGGAACGUUGUUGACUCUCGACAAAUGUGCAUUGUUCGCUUCAUAAUAUAUAUAUUGCAGUCAGAAAGUCAAUCAUUAGUUCUCACGUGCAUAUCUGUUGGAAAAUUGAAAAAGUACCAACCUUUCAUUGCGUAAGGAACUUGGUAAACGGGGACGGAGUUCAAGUAUUCGGAGGAGUCCUCGUCGUCCAGAGUGUCAAAAAGAAGGCAUCUUUUCCCACUGAGAGUGUUAGUUUGAUAGUUUAUCUCAGAGGCAGACAAAUUGAACAUAUGAACAUUGAAGAUUGCAUUUCCUUCGUAUCUGAAAACCAGCAAGUAGCCAACACGAAUCGAGUAACUCUCGACAAAGUCAUUCCACCCAUCAUGAAACCAAAACUUGUCGUCAGCUUUUACUAUUCCUAUGCGCCACACAUGACCGUCAGGGACAGUCAGUCUCACAAGAUGGGUGAGGUCAUUUGCAAAUUUCUUGAUAAAAUUAUCUGGGAUCCUCUGCAUGCAGCUAAAUGUUAGGUUAGGUCCCAUUUUUCUAACAAAGUUUAGCAUAAUCAUUGACAACCUUAUGUUAAAGAAACUAACUUUUUGCCACACGAAACACAAAAGGCAUUUCGGAAAAGCAAUCACAUGAAGGCAGUAGAGUUGUGCACCAAACUAUAUGGGAUAACAUCGAUGUAACAAAAAAUGAAAGACUUCUAUGCAGUAAAUGAUGGACGAUGUAAGCAUAAUCAUAGCUAACUUUUCAGAAGAUGAGAACAAAGGCAUUAGAGGCAAGAGAAGCAUAUCAAGUGAAGUUAUGGAAGAAAAUCAAUUGGAUGCAGGGCAUAGUAUACCUAUGCACCAAACUAAAAGGGAUAACAUUCAUUUAACGAAAGCUGAAAGACUAUAUGUGCAGUAAAACUCGUACUCAAACGAUGGAUGAUUCUAACUUACUAAGCAUGUCUGGAAUCAGAACACUCAAUUCAAACACGACCCUCAACUCGAUUAAGUAAUCACUUGCAACCUUGUAUUCAUCACCAACUUUUCGACACACAGAAAAAGAAGGAAUUUGGGAAAAGGUUUUGCAUAUCAACUAUCAAGUGACAGAUAUGGAAGCACCGAACGAAGAAGGAUAGCAUUUGCUGUAAUGAAACCUGAAAGACUUCCUAGCAACAAUGCUUACCAAAGCAUAUUUCGGAUCAAAACACUUGAUUCACACACGAUUCUCAUCUCAAUUAGGUACACAUAGGACAAGUCUGAACAGAACGGCAGGUUAGUCGAAGUCCCAAAACAGACUGCAACUAUCACCAAAGUGCAACUUAUAGAAUUCAAGACUUUUGAGAUCAGAUAAACAAAGUGCAACAUACAACUAGCAUAUCUGAUAAGUUUUGAAAAUGACUGCAAGUUAGGUGAGUCACAAGUACAUUCAUCUGCCAUCAAACAAAGCAAAUUGCAAGUCAAGGAAUCCAAGACAUUUGAGAUCAUAAAACUUAGCAGCAACCACAUCCCCACAGCCAACAAAAGAGGCCUUUUUCUUCUUCUUUUCAAAAACCCUAAUCAACAAAAUCCACCAAAGAAAAACACACCACUUCCAUACCGCACUCAUCAAAGUCUCAAGCUUUCCCCCAAACCCAAAACAAUCAAGACUCCACAGUCCAAACCAGCUGACACUGACAAACAGAAUCUCAUCACAUAGAGCAAACAAGCCAAGCAAUUGAAAGGUGGAAGUAAAAGGGACGGAGAGAGAAAGAGAGAGAGAGAGGGAAAGAGAGAAUUAGGGAUUGUUUACCAGCUUCCUGCCCUGAAGAGUUCUGGGGAGAAUUAUCUUGUGGAAGUAAGGCCUUGACGGCAUAAUUUCUUUUUGGUGUUAUUUCGGCGACUUUAUUGGGUGGGUUGUAAUUAUAGUGAUGGAGAAGUGAAGAAAGAUAGCGAGAGGGGGAAAUGGGUCAAUCAGAUCAUGAUGAUAAGACCACCAGCCCCAAUCUGAAAGAGAAAGGCGACAGAAAGAAAGAAAAGAGAAAGAUAUUGAAAGUUUUUGUCUCAGAUCUACAGCAGCUGCUCCAUCACCAAUAACUACUCUUCUUCCUCCUCCUCUCUCACUUUACAGAGUUACAGUCAAAGAACAGUGCUUUGCUACUGCUACUGCUACUGCUUUAAAAACCUUAACAAACGUUAGCUUGACCUAAAAAAAAGUAGUUGAACGAGUUGAGUUUUGCUUUCCCUGGCCUGGUUUUUGGUUUUUCCAAGCGACUCAGUUGGCUGACUCGGAUAUCAGAAUCCCUUGCAUAAAUUUAUUGAUUAAUUGAUUGAUGUCUUCUUGUGUUAUUUUCUUCUUCUUGGUGGGGGGGGGUUGCUUUUUGUUUUUAUUUUUUAAUCAUUUUCUUGUGUUUAUCCUCGUGACUUGCACGUGCAAUCUGGUACAACAGCCGGGUCGGACUUUGGUUGGACGGUUGACUCAAAUGCUAUGACAAAAUUCUGCGGGCCUCGGAUGCUACUUCAAGUCCGGGUACACUCUCUAUUUACACUGAUUCUGUCGAAUUAACAGGUUGCUCAACUCUUUGAAUGUUGCCUCCUUCUCACUGUCAUUCUACAAAAGCUGAAAGCCUAUAUGCACAGUAAAACCGGUACUCAAACGAUGGAUGAUUCUAACUUACUAAGCAUGUCUGGAAUCAGAACACUCAAUUCAAACACGACCCUCAACUCGAUUAAGUAAUCACUUGCAACCUUGUAUUCAUCACCAACUUUUCGACACACAGAAAAAGAAGGAAUUUGGGAAAAGGUUUUGCAUAUCAACUAUCACCAAAGGCAUAAGAGGAAGAGAAGCAUUUCAAGUGAAGUUAUGGAAGAAAAGCAAUCGGAUGCAGGGCAAAGUAUACCUAUGCACCAAACUAAAAGAGAUAACAUUCAUUUAACGAAAGCUGAAAGACUAUAUGCACAGUAAAACCGGUACUCAAACGAUGGAUGAUUCUAACUUACUAAGCAUGUCUGGAAUCAGAACACUCAAUUCAAACACGACCCUCAACUCGAUUAAGUAAUCACUUGCAACCUUGUAUUCAUCACCAACUUUUCGACACACAGAAAAAGAAGGAAUUUGGGAAAAGGUUUUGCAUAUCAACUAUCACCAAAGGCAUAAGAGGAAGAGAAGCAUUUCAAGUGAAGUUAUGGAAGAAAAGCAAUCGGAUGCAGGGCAAAGUAUACCUAUGCACCAAACUAAAAGAGAUAACAUUCAUUUAACGAAAGCUGAAAGACUAUAUGCACAGUAAAACCGGUACUCAAACGAUGGAUGAUUCUAACUUACUAAGCAUGUCUGGAAUCAGAACACUCAAUUCAAACACGACCCUCAACUCGAUUAAGUAAUCACUUGCAACCUUGUAUUCAUCACCAACUUUUCGACACACAGAAAAAGAAGGAAUUUGGGAAAAGGUUUUGCAUAUCAACUAUCAAGUGACAGAUAUGGAAGCACCGAACGAAGAAGGAUAGCAUUUGCUGUAAUGAAACCUGAAAGACUUCCUAGCAACAAUGCUUACCAAAGCAUAUUUCGGAUCAAAACACUUGAUUCACACACGAUUCUCAUCUCAAUUAGGUACACAUAGGACAAGUCUGAACAGAACGGCAGGUUAGUCGAAGUCCCAAAACAGACUGCAACUAUCACCAAAGUGCAACUUAUAGAAUUCAAGACUUUUGAGAUCAGAUAAACAAAGUGCAACAUACAACUAGCAUAUCUGAUAAGUUUUGAAAAUGACUGCAAGUUAGGUGAGUCACAAGUACAUUCAUCUGCCAUCAAACAAAGCAAAUUGCAAGUCAAGGAAUCCAAGACAUUUGAGAUCAUAAAACUUAGCAGCAACCACAUCCCCACAGCCAACAAAAGAGGCCUUUUUCUUCUUCUUUUCAAAAACCCUAAUCAACAAAAUCCACCAAAGAAAAACACACCACUUCCAUACCGCACUCAUCAAAGUCUCAAGCUUUCCCCCAAACCCAAAACAAUCAAGACUCCACAGUCCAAACCAGCUGACACUGACAAACAGAAUCUCAUCACAUAGAGCAAACAAGCCAAGCAAUUGAAAGGUGGAAGUAAAAGGGACGGAGAGAGAAAGAGAGAGAGAGAGGGAAAGAGAGAAUUAGGGAUUGUUUACCAGCUUCCUGCCCUGAAGAGUUCUGGGGAGAAUUAUCUUGUGGAAGUAAGGCCUUGACGGCAUAAUUUCUUUUUGGUGUUAUUUCGGCGACUUUAUUGGGUGGGUUGUAAUUAUAGUGAUGGAGAAGUGAAGAAAGAUAGCGAGAGGGGGAAAUGGGUCAAUCAGAUCAUGAUGAUAAGACCACCAGCCCCAAUCUGAAAGAGAAAGGCGACAGAAAGAAAGAAAAGAGAAAGAUAUUGAAAGUUUUUGUCUCAGAUCUACAGCAGCUGCUCCAUCACCAAUAACUACUCUUCUUCCUCCUCCUCUCUCACUUUACAGAGUUACAGUCAAAGAACAGUGCUUUGCUACUGCUACUGCUACUGCUUUAAAAACCUUAACAAACGUUAGCUUGACCUAAAAAAAAGUAGUUGAACGAGUUGAGUUUUGCUUUCCCUGGCCUGGUUUUUGGUUUUUCCAAGCGACUCAGUUGGCUGACUCGGAUAUCAGAAUCCCUUGCAUUAAUGUAUUGAUUAAUUGAUUGAUGUCUUCUUGUGUUAUUUUCUUCUUCUUGGUGGGGGGGGGUUGCUUUUUGUUUUUAUUUUUUAAUCAUUUUCUUGUGUUUAUCCUCGUGACUUGCACGUGCAAUCUGGUACAACAGCCGGGUCGGACUUUGGUUGGACGGUUGACUCAAAUGCUAUGACAAAAUUCUGCGGGCCUCGGAUGCUACUUCAAGUCCGGGUACACUCUCUAUUUACACUGAUUCUGUCGAAUUAACAGGUUGCUCAACUCUUUGAAUGUUGCCUCCUUCUCACUGUCAUUCUUUCUGUAUUGCCGCUUAUUCAGUUGCAUGAGGGCUCUUUAUUAUCCUCACAUUAGACGAAAUGUCGCUCCCUUCUCACUGUCAUUCUUUCCGUUUCCAUUUUAUAUGUACCUAGUCGGAAUAAUUAUACCGCACAUUCAAUGACAAAGAACUGGUUCUUCAUUAUCCUGACAUUAGUGAUCGUUGUUUACAUACCGGCACUACUACCGGACUGUAAAUUGGAAAAUGGUGAAACAUUUUAAUUGAAUAAAAAAAUAAAAUUAAUAAUAUGCCUGUCGUUAACUUGUAAAACAGAAGGAGAUAUUCACAACAUUGAUCUCCUCUUCUAUACAAAACUGAAACAAACUCAAGAAAAGAAUGUACAUCUCUGUACAUGCCAAAACUGAACCAACUCCUCACCAUCGGCGAGCAAACUAGUUUGUAGAAUCCGACGCCACGAACGGUAUCAUGGACCAGUUGUUUCGUAUAGACAGGAACGAGUGCUUUUUGAUGUCAAAAGACGAACUCUGUUGUUGGUUGCGGCCAGAAGGUUCGAGAACAGCACCCCUCUCCAUGGAUGUCAUCAUGGAGAUUUUGUCAACCUAGAUGAGUCAGGCAUUGUCCUAUGCGGGGUUUUGUACAGGCAUCUUCUCGUGAAGCUCGCGCAGGAGGUCUCGAAGCUCGGGGAACACAGUCACGAGUAAUAGUUCGAGGAUCGCAAAUGCAAGUUGCUUUAUGCAGAUGGUAGACUGCAUUUUGUACGGAUCGAGUGACGAGCAAGCAACAGCCGUAACAUGGAUUAAGAAGAAGAAAAUUCGAAAAGAGGAUCAAACCUGAGUGAAGUAAUAGAUAUCUCUUGCGCAUCGCCUGUAUUGCUUAGCCCCGAUCAAACUCACUAAGGCUGUUGGAACUCCAUCUGAUGAACACAAAAGGAAGAAGAAAAGCUUUCAUUUCCAGGCAUUACGUUCCAAAAUGCGCGCAAAGGAUUUCCAAUUCGGUCAAAGCCACAUCAGAAACUCGAUCGAGAAGCAUAAAAGAUUGAAGAAUUUGUUACUUCUUACCGAAGAGUGUUUUCCUGAUGUAAUUUGCUCUGCGAGAAGCUUCGAGCUGUUCCUCGAACGUGCUCUGCUUAGGCCCCUUGCUACCACCAAACUGUCCCAGCUGAAAUGAAUUAAGGUUUUGUUGAGGUUCAUCGGCUUUGCAAUGAGGAACCCCGAUUUUUGUAAAGAAAAUUCCAUUCGGCCAGAGAAACUGAAAAAAGAAACGUAUUCCGUCAUUAGGUUACAGAGAGACUGCCAAAGGAGAACGUAUAAUCUCCAUUGCUGCUAACCAAUGACUUACAUCUUGCACCCAGCUGAUUCCUAAAGCUAUAGUCUCCUCUCUCCGAAGCCAAUAGAUCUGUCCCAAGAGCCAGUCGUCGAUGGCAUCUUCCAUCAUCAACUGUACUAUCUGCUUCGAUAUCCAAAAUACCUGUCUCCUGAAACGACGAAUUCACGCCUUGACAUGAGUUAUAUGAGAGCCCUACAUUUCUCAACCUGUUGUUCCUCUUUGCAAGACUCAAAAGGUGGGAAUUUGAACAAACGAAUUCGGUAUGCCGGAACAAGAAUACAAGAUGAAGGUAAUCAAUCAUCGUAACAGACAGACAAAUUUGAUAAAUGUGGAAAUGAUUAGCUAACCUCAGCCAGCCUCUUCUCUUGAGCUGAAACACCUUGUCAACUAGGUUCAACAGGGGCACACUUACGUUAGGUGGCGUCCACUAGAAGAAAGAGAGAAAAGGAUUAUGAGUUCAGUAAAAUCAACCCUGGAAAACAAUCAAACUAUCUACUAAGAUUUUUACAGUAGAUAUUCCAUUUUAAACGCAUGAAGCAAAACCCAAAUACAACUAAAGCCAGCUAUACCGAUAAACAUUUACUAAUUACUAAUCGUAGCCGUAGUGUUCAGGUCUACUCCAACAAAUAACAUGGUAGCAACGUCAAACCAGAAAAGAAAUUGAUCUAUGCGAUCCUCCAAAUUAGGUAGUCAAAAUGCUGCCAGACACGUACCUCAGGUGGCAUGCCAACUGGAUCCUCGACACGAGAAGAGAUUAGGGCCGAAUUAACUGCUGAGGGCCGACCUUCAUUACUACCAUCAGAUUCCAUGACAGAAUCAUCAUUUUGCUUUAAAUUUAAGCUCCUGGACAUCUCAUCCUGUUUGACUAGUCGACCAGGGGAAGUACUUGAGUCCACUUCAUUAUCUGAAUGCCACCCACUAGCUUGUGCACCAGGUCCGACAUCCUCUUGGUCAUGGUUUUCUUGCUGUUGAGUUUCAUCAUUGUCGGAAGAGGUAUUUUUAGUACCCAUGGUAUUUUGCCUACAUACCACCUUACUUGAGUCAUCUACAUUCCAAGGCGAAUUCCUGUUGUAUCUUGGUGAACUGCUUUCAUCAAAUUGAGAAGCUGAACUGCCGGCUUUACGUCCCCAGCCACCAGAAACGCCUUUAAAUUGACGCAUAAUGUCGUCCACGGCAUCGUCCAUAUUGACUGCUUUUCCAAAGGCAAUCAAGUGAGAAAAUAGGAAUGACUUAAAUAAACCCAUCAACCUUUUUGUAAUCAUUUGGAUGCAUUGACAAAAGAACUCUGACACUAAUAGAGAUUGAUGAUGAUCAUACAAUUUGAACAUACAUAGGCUACAUUCGGUUCUAUAAAACCCUAAUCAUUCCUUCUUAACUUUCCCUUAAUGUAAUAGAUUUUAACCUCUUUUCGGACUCCUUUCACAGUUGCUCCCUAAUCUAGAGGCCCAUUUUCCCUCAAGGAUCAGUGGCAGUGAAGCUGAGAAUAAAUACAAUGGCUAAAGAGGAAACAAGAUCCCAGAUAAAUCACAUACCUGCUAGAGUUUUCAUUACUGAAGAAGAUCUUCCAAAAGAGUAAUUCUACGGAAAUUUUGAAAGCAGAAUUAGAAGUUGAACAGGGGAAAAUAAGGCAGCAAAGAAAACUAACCACAAUAAGAAAGACAACAACUUGUGAGAACAAACGGCAUACCUUGGAGGCAGCACUUAAAAAAUCCCAAACUUCAUGCUGCUCAGCCACAUUAGCUAUAGACAAUAGAUCCUAUAAAACAUAUGCGCUCGAUUAAGUAUCAACGUCAAGUAAAGACUUACAAUAAAAAAAUAAAUGUCAAAGGCUAGAGACAAAGACAACAGUACCUGGAGAUAUUUAUCAAGCUGAAUACAGCGUUGAUGGACGAAAGCAUCCUCUGUGCUUGAAGAGAAGAUUCUUUUUGGAGGCAAAUGCAAUGUAUAGUUUGGUAUCUCUUUAAGCUGUCUGUGCAACCUCUCAAAAUUACUAUAUCUGUAGACAACAAAAAUUGGUGAGAAGAUGUUCAUGACUAAGAGAAGAAAAACAAAACCAACAACAUAAAUUAUACACAGAUUUUACUCUGGUGUCUUAAUAAAAUUCUAGAAAUUCAGAAAUAAUAGUUUGAACCAGCAUCAAGGGGUAGGCUGAAUAGAAAGACACCUUCUCUUUACAAACCAAGUUCUCUGAUCCGCAUCCGUUACUGCUAUCGAAUAAACUGCAAAGGACUUUGACCCAAGCUUUUCAAAGUAUGCUCCCAUGACCUGUCCGAACAUAAUCAACAAAGACGGUAUGGUCAGUAUGCCUCGGGAGUCAUUUUCAAUCUCUCAAACUUUUUCAUCAAGGAAUAUCGAAUACAUACCCUGGACCUGAGCUUUGGAACAUUAGUCGCAUCACUGUGUAACACUAUAUCAGGAAUGAUCUUAACAGCAGGAUCCGAAGCAUGCCCAACAAAAUCUUCACUGUAGUACUCUGAAAUAAUAGAACCUCCAUGUUCUCCUUCUAAUGCCAUCUUCUUUUCAGGCUGGUCUUUCAGAGCAGAAGUGCUAUUUGACCGCUUCAGCUUACCCCCACUUUCAUUCGUAAGAGGUUUGGAAGUCUUGAAUCCAUCGACGAUAUCAGCGCCAAGAGAAUACUCACUACUCUGACCUGCUAUAAAAUGUUCUUCAUUUCUCUUUUCAAUGACUACAGAAUUUUUUCAGGUGUGAGAACUUCAGUUCUUCUCUGUGUUGCAGCCUCUAGCAUCUUCCCCCAAACGGCAUGGCGUGGAGAGUCUGGGUGAUCUACACCAUCAUCCAUUGAGGUGUCUUCAUGAGUUCUAGACUUAGUUGGAGUUAUGGCACUAGUAGGAUCCAGUGUAGAGCAUUUCUGCGAGACAGAUGCUCCACUGUUUGCAAACCCACUGGCCUGAUCAUUUCCUGUGUUCAUUGGGUUGUUAUCUAUAACGGCAAGCAAGAUUAAUUCAAUCACCUCAUUGAUAUACCUGUUUUCAGGAAAUAACAGGAGUUAUACUCUUUUAAUAGAAAGUCGUUUAUACAUGAAAGCUGGAUGAGAAACCAUGAAUGAUGAAUAUGAAAGAAGCUUCCUAGAGAUGAGAAACAAAAGAAAAUUUUACUUACACGGGGCUUGCAAGAUUCAAAACUGGUUGCAUUACCAAGCAAGUAACAAUCUCUCUGGCAAUAGUCCGCACCAAGGGGGAUUGAGCUUCUCGUGGUCUUAACACUACUGCUAAAACGCCAGACAUUAUCCGCUGAAGAACCUUUGGGAAGAUGAAGAAAGGAAAGCAUUAACAUUAAUGAAUACAAACCAUGAAAUAGAAACAGGAAAUCGAAAAGGACACACUCACACCUUAUACUCACUCUCUGGAGAUAUCAAAGCUGGAUGGAGCUCAUUUGAUUCCAUUAGAUGAUGUUUCAGCCUUUCAUCUCGCUCCUCAGUUGAGAGAGUUCUCAUUACAUCAACACCAAUUGCUGCUUGAUUCCGUCUAAAGAGAUCCAAGUGAUCACCUAUUAAAUCAAGUAUAUCCCUGCAAAACAAUCACUCAUCAAAUUCCACCCUCAAAUCCCGACAGCCCCAAAUUAUCACCUCAGGCAUCAUAUGAAAUUAAGAAUACCUUGUAAGCAUAUCAACAACGUUAAUCUCUUUAACUCUCCCCGAUAUCUCACCAAGGGCAUCCAUUAUCACUCCACGUAUCAACUCUGGGGCAUCCUUGUCAGGCGUAAUUUCAGAGUACCAGAGAUCAACCACAAAGUCCUUCAUUAUCUUAUCAAUAAAGUCAUUGACUGAAGCCUCCACCACAGGUGAAUCAAUCUUCCUCCUCCAUCUCGGUGGAGGCGGUGCAGAAGAAAGCCGCGAAUCAUUCACGGAUAAUUGCUUCUUUUCCAAAUGAGACAGAUACGAUUGUGGCCGGACUAAGUUGCGUGGCUUCCAGUAAAACUCCACUUCGUUAGACAGUAUCCGCAAUGCAGCAACAAUGAGGAUUGAUAUUGGAAGGUUAAUCCACAUCGACGAACUCGUAUCUGCAACGAAUCGAACAUAAUUUAAGCAUUUUAACACAUCAGAACCUAAUAAUCCAGUUUAAUGAAUCGCACGGCAAUGAAUUGUGUCACCAAGUAAACAAAACACAGCGUUGCCAUUUCCACGUUCAUCACAUAAUGAUAAGUCCAAGUCCAAACAAUUUAUCCAAUGCCGAAUCAGAAUCCAAUACAGAACAGAAGCAAAAGGCGGAUUGUAACUCACGAGAUAAGAAGUAAGUAAUGGUGAAGAUGCACAACGCCCACCACACCGUCCGAACCUUGGCUUCCUCGAUCAGAUCUUCAAUUGUCUCCAUCGACUUCAUAUUUUUUCCUUCUAACUUAAUAAAUUACCUAUCUCUAAACCCUAAUCUAUCAUCCGACCUCUGAUUCUACUACGAACCUGAGAGAGGAGAGAAGAAAAGGAAGGAUCCACGGAACAAUUCCGUUGACCGCAAUUGAGAUCCAGAGAUCGGCAGUUGAGAAGUUCGUUUGCAGCUACAAAUUUCUACCGCCUGGAAAUUUAAAAUCGAGAGAGAGGGUGUAAUUAUUUUUGUUUCGGUCGAAUUUGCCGCCAGCUCGCCGCCACGGUGGCGCUCCCCGGGAAAAGGUGUUCUGGGCUGUAAUUUGUUCCUUUCUCUUCUUUUCCAAUUUUUCUUUUUUGUGAAAUUUGACUUUCUUUGUGUGAAAUUUGUUCUAUUUUGUGGUCAUUGUAAAUUAAUUAAAAAAAUAACUUUUCCUACCUAAAAAAAUUAACAAGUGACACGAUACAUUACACACAAAUAUAAUAAUUGUUUAGCUGAUGCAGCUUAAAUUAUUAUUUCAAAAAUAUCUACUUCAAAUUCAGUUAUUUUACAAACCACAUAUCGUUUAUUUUUUUCUAUCUUCUUACUUUGUUGAUUUUUAGAAAAUAUGCAAUAAUAAGUUAAAAUAUUAGACCUUUUACCAUAUAUAAAGGAAAUAUAUAUGGUUAUUUGUGAAAAUAUAUAUACGGUAUAUUUAUUAUAUAAAUUUGUACAUGUUCUUUAACAAUAGUUCAAUUUAUUUCAAAAUUUUUGCUAAAUAUAGACAGAUAACAACAUGAGUAAAGCACCCAUCACAUAAAAUGUUGACUUUUUUAUGAUAUGGAUGUACAAUUAGAACUUUUGAGUUUCGAUUAUCAACGUAUAUGAAUUGUUUAGUAAUUUCAACACCUUAAGACUCCUAAUAAUUGAGAAAUUUCUUUUGAGCAUGUUUAUCGAAAAAAUAAUAUUAUAUGGCGAACUAUCUUGCCAACUUGGAAGUUGAGACAUACACAGUUAAAGUAAGACACUCAUGCAUGUGUUUAUCCACGUAUAAAUUUAUAGAUUUUCUUUAACAAGAACUUAACUUGUUUCACAAGUUUCGUUUCCCAAUUUCGUUUCCAGCCACAUACACAUAGAUAGAAAAAUUAAUUAGAUAACCUAAAUCCACCAAAUGAUCAUCCCAACGGUUAUAGCCAAGCAGACCAACAUCCAUUUCAUGUCAAUGUUACAGUGUUGGAUUACCAAAAAUUGACGACAAAAUUAGUAAAAUUCAUACCUUUACACAUAUCCAUCGCUUACCGGGUGAUUAUAUACGCAAUAAUCGCCAAAAAUCAAGUAAAAUACAUAGGGUAACACAUAUCCAUCGAUAAAUCGGGUUAUUAUAUACACAAUUAUCGUAACUCAUAAAAUCAAAGCCAACACAUCAUCAACAACAAGACCAUCCUUCAAACCGUAGAGCUACUCUAUAUUCACAUAUACCUACCCUAACUAUAAAUCGAAAAACCACCACCAUUUUUCGAUCAAUAAUCAAUCGGUCUCAUGGUCAGGCCGGGGAGUGUACCAAGCAGGAAACCUGCUCCUAGCUCUGAGCAACCUGGUAUGCGGAGUAUCAGGCAUUCUAGCUUCCUCUUCCUCGUCGAUCUCCUCCUGCGGCCUCGGCAGCCCGUCCGGGAUCGGGCAUUCUUCCUUCAUCGUCUUCAAGCUUCCUCCUUGCUGAAGAAAAGAGGUGCUGCCACCAUUGUUGUCUGUACUGGUGAGUCUUUUGUAGUUGCUAAACAUUGGUGUCAUGCUGUGUAGGUAGGAGAUCAAGGUUUUCACCCCGCC
This 41412-nucleotide long non-coding RNA is filed under the name Linum usitatissimum (flax). Its description in RNAcentral is "long non-coding RNA (LUSI_LNC008223)". Lineage: Eukaryota; Viridiplantae; Streptophyta; Magnoliopsida; Malpighiales; Linaceae. The record is from RNAcentral.